Molecule: ribosomal RNA, 1316 nt
Filed under: Lethal yellowing phytoplasma
Lineage: Bacteria; Bacillati; Mycoplasmatota; Mollicutes; Acholeplasmatales; Acholeplasmataceae
Description: bacterial SSU rRNA
Rfam family: Bacterial small subunit ribosomal RNA
Source: RNAcentral
UUUUAGUGGCGAACGGGUGAGUAACACGUAAGCAACCUGCCUUUAAGACGAGAAUAACAAUUGGAAACAGUUGCUAAGGCUGGAUAGGAAAUAAAAAGGCAUCUUUUUAUUUUUAAAAGACCUUCUUCGGAGGGUAUGCUUAAAGAGGGGCUUGCGUCACAUUAGUUAGUUGGUAGGGUAAUGGCCUACCAAGACGAUGAUGUGUAGCUGGACUGAGAGGUUGAACAGCCACAUUGGGACUGAGACACGGCCCAAACUCCUACGGGAGGCAGCAGUAGGGAAUUUUCGGCAAUGGAGGAAACUCUGACCGAGCAACGCCGCGUGAACGACGAAGUACUUCGGUAUGUAAAGUUCUUUUAUUGAAGAAGAAACAAUAGUGGAAAAACUAUCUUGACGUUAUUCAAUGAAUAAGCCCCGGCUAACUAUGUGCCAGCAGCCGCGGUAAUACAUAGGGGGCGAGCGUUAUCCGGAAUUAUUGGGCGUAAAGGGUGCGUAGGCGGUUUAAUAAGUCUCUAGUUUAAUUUCAACGCUUAACGUUGUCCUGCUAGAGAAACUGUUUGACUAGAGUGAGAUAGAGGUAAGCGGAAUUCCAUGUGUAGCGGUAAAAUGUGUAAAUAUAUGGAGGAACACCAGAGGCGUAGGCGGCUUACUGGGUCUUUACUGACGCUGAUGCACGAAAGCGUGGGGAGCAAACAGGAUUAGAUACCCUGGUAGUCCACGCCGUAAACUAUGAGUACUAAGUGUCGGGGUUAAACUCGGUACUGAAGUUAACACAUUAAGUACUCCGCCUGAGUAGUACGUACGCAAGUAUGAAACUUAAAGGAAUUGACGGGAUCCCGCACAAGCGGUGGAUCAUGUUGUUUAAUUCGAAGAUACACGAAAAACCUUACCAGGUCUUGACAUACUCUGCAAAACUAUAGAAAUAUAGUGGAGGUUAUCAGGGAUACAGGUGGUGCAUGGUUGUCGUCAGCUCGUGUCGUGAGAUGUUAGGUUAAGUUCUAAAACGAGCGCAACCCCUGUCGUUAAUUGCCAGCACGUUAUGGUGGGGACUUUAGCGAGACUGCCAAUGAAAAAUUGGAGGAAGGUGGGGAUUACGUCAAAUCAUCAUGCCCCUUAUGAUCUGGGCUACAAACGUGAUACAAUGGCUAUUACAAAGAGUAGCUUAAACGCGAGUUUUUGGCAAAUCUCAAAAAAAUAGUCUUAGUUCGGAUUGAAGUCUGCAACUCGACUUCAUGAAGUUGGAAUCGCUAGUAAUCGCGAAUCAGCAUGUCGCGGUGAAUACGUUCUCGGGGUUUGUACACACCGCCCGUCAAACC